Molecule: ribosomal RNA, 587 nt
Filed under: uncultured Prevotella sp.
Lineage: Bacteria; Pseudomonadati; Bacteroidota; Bacteroidia; Bacteroidales; Prevotellaceae
Description: bacterial SSU rRNA
Rfam family: Bacterial small subunit ribosomal RNA
Source: RNAcentral
UUUUUUUUAUAUUAUCUAAUUAACAAAGUGGCGGCACCGGCAGCUGACCCUCCGGAUGUGCCCAAAUGGGGUUAGCUACUAUGUGAGUAAAUGACUCACCUAGGAAAAUCUCUCUAGCUUCCCUGAGAAAAGACCAGCCACACGAAAUCUGAGACACUGCCCACACCUCUACAAAACAAGCUAUGGAGAAUCUUGCACUAUGCGCGAAACUCUAACGCAGACACGCCGUGUGAAAGAAGAAUGUCUUAAGAGUAUAAUUUUCUCUCAGCGGGGACGAUAAUGACGGUACGCAGAGAAGAAGCCCCGUCUCUCUUUGUGACAGCAGGCGCGGUAAUACGAAAGAGGCUCGUUUUUCUCGGAAUUACUGGGUGUAAAGGGAGCGUAGGCGGACAUUUAAGUCAGGGGUGAAAUCCCGGGGCUCAAUCUCGGAAUUGUCUUUGAUACUGGGUGUCUUGAGUAUGAGAGAUGUGUGUAGAUCUCCGAGUGUAGAGGUGAAAUUCGUAGAUAUUCGGAAGAACACCAGUCGCGAAGGAGACACACUGGCUCAUUACUGACGCUGAGGCUCGAAAGCGUGGGGAGCAAACAGG